Molecule: non-coding RNA, 45 nt
Organism: Ixodes scapularis (black-legged tick)
Lineage: Eukaryota; Metazoa; Arthropoda; Arachnida; Ixodida; Ixodidae
Source: Rfam
AGAGCGGUCCUUUUAAGGACCAUUCACAUACUGCAAAAUCGGAUU